This 431-nucleotide ribosomal RNA is filed under the name uncultured bacterium. RNAcentral's name for it is "partial 16S ribosomal RNA". It matches the Rfam family "Bacterial small subunit ribosomal RNA", at positions 29 to 507 of the family's 1533-position model. The record is from RNAcentral.
AACGAACGCUGGCGGCAGGCUUAACACAUGCAAGUCGAGCGCCCCGCAAGGGGAGCGGCAGACGGGUGAGUAACGCGUGGGAACGUACCUUUUGGUUCGGAACAACUCCGGGAAACUGGAGCUAAUGCCGGAUAAGCCCUAACGGGGAAAGAUUUAUCGCCGAAAGAUCGGCCCGCGUCUGAUUAGCUAGUUGGUGAGGUAACGGCUCACCAAGGCGACGAUCAGUAGCUGGUCUGAGAGGAUGAUCAGCCACACUGGGACUGAGACACGGCCCAGACUCCUACGGGAGGCAGCAGUGGGGAAUAUUGGACAAUGGGCGCAAGCCUGAUCCAGCCAUGCCGCGUGAGUGAUGAAGGCCUUAGGGUUGUAAAGCUCUUUUGUCCGGGAAGAUAAUGACUGUACCGGAAGAAUAAGCCCCGGCUAACUUCGUG